GACGAACGCUGGCGGCGUGCUUAUCACAUGCAAGUCGAACGGUAAGGCCCUUCGGGGUACACGAGUGGCGGACGGGUGAGUAACACGUGGGUGAUCUGCCCUGCACUUCGGGAUAAGCCUGGGAAACUGGGUCUAAUACCGGAUAGGACCACUGCCUGCAUGGGUGGUGGUGGAAAGCUUUUGCGGUGUGGGAUGGGCCCGCGGCCUAUCAGCUUGUUGGUGGGGUGAUGGCCUACCAAGGCGACGACGGGUAGCCGGCCUGAGAGGGUGACCGGCCACACUGGGACUGAGUUACGGUCCAGACUCCUACGGGAGGCAGCAGUGGGGAAUAUUGCACAAUGGGCGCAAGCCUGAUGCAGCGACGCCGCGUGAGGGAUGACGGCCUUCGGGUUGUAAACCUCUUUCAGCACCGACGAAGCGCAAGUGACGGUAGGUGCAGAAGAAGGACCGGCCAACUACGUGCCAGCAGCCGCCGUAA
RNAcentral lists this ribosomal RNA (478 nucleotides) under uncultured bacterium. RNAcentral describes it as "partial 16S ribosomal RNA". It matches the Rfam family "Bacterial small subunit ribosomal RNA", at positions 28 to 523 of the family's 1533-position model. The record is from RNAcentral.